Molecule: ribosomal RNA, 515 nt
Filed under: uncultured bacterium
Lineage: Bacteria
Description: bacterial SSU rRNA
Rfam family: Bacterial small subunit ribosomal RNA
Source: RNAcentral
UCCUGGCUCAGAACGAACGCUGGCGGCGUGGAUAAGACAUGCAAGUCGAACGAGAGAAUUGCUAGCUUGCUAAUAACUCUCUAGUGGCGCACGGGUGAGUAACACGUGAGUAACCUGCCCCCGAGAGCGGGAUAGCCCUGGGAAACUGGGAUUAAUACCGCAUAGUAUCGAAAGAUUAAAGCAGCAAUGCGCUUGGGGAUGGGCUCGCGGCCUAUUAGUUAGUUGGUGAGGUAACGGCUCACCAAGGCGAUGACGGGUAGCCGGUCUGAGAGGAUGUCCGGCCACACUGGAACUGAGACACGGUCCAGACACCUACGGGUGGCAGCAGUCGAGAAUCAUUCACAAUGGGGGAAACCCUGAUGGUGCGACGCCGCGUGGGGGAAUGAAGGUCUUCGGAUUGUAAACCCCUGUCAUGUGGGAGCAAAUUAAAAAGAUAGUACCACAAGAGGAAGAGACGGCUAACUCUGUGCCAGCAGCCGCGGUAAUACAGAGGUCUCAAGCGUUGUUCGGAAUCA